Molecule: long non-coding RNA, 1891 nt
Organism: Homo sapiens (human)
Lineage: Eukaryota; Metazoa; Chordata; Mammalia; Primates; Hominidae
Gene: SMG1P7
Product: SMG1 pseudogene 7
Source: Ensembl
CAAGGCAUGCCCAUCAGGAUGCCCUUUGGGCCUAGACCUGAUGUGAGAAUGAUGGGCUUGGAGUGUUCUGGAAAUAGCUGGGAGGCCUGUGUGUUUAGGAGCACCUUAAACAGUAGGAUAUAAGGGCAGAGAAGUAGCUGGGAACUGAGAAAAGAACUUUGGCUGUUAUUCUAGUAAGACUGAAAAUUUCAGGUGGGAUUUGAACAGAGAUGUGUUGUGAUCUGACUUGGUGGUUCAUUCUGCUAUGGUGAAGAGACUGGAGGUGAGGGGCAAGUAUGGAAGCAUGGAGACCAUUAAUUUGUGGGGGCAAUGGUAGAGGGAAGAGAAACAAUGCUAUUAACUGGAGUAGGAGCACACAGAGAACAAGCUAUGUUUUAAGAUUUCUAAUGAAAUGUGCAGAUGAGAUUGUUGGGUAAGCUGUUAAGAAUUGGAUUUUGGCUCUCCCUCUCCCUCUCCCUCCUCUCCCUCUCCCUCUCCCUCUCCCUCCUCUCCCUCUCCCUCUCCCUCCUCUCCCUCUCCCUCUCUUUCCACGGUCUCCCUCUCCCUCUCUUUCCACGGUUUCCACGGUCUCCCUCUCCCUCUCUUUCCACGGUCUCCCUCUCAUGCCAAGCCGAAGCUGGACUGUGCUGCUGCCAUCUCGGCUCACUGCAACCUCCCUGCCUGAUUCUCCUGCCUCAGCCUGCCGAGUGCCUGCGAUUGCAGGCGUGCGCCGCCACACCUGAUGGGUUUUCGUACUUUUUUGGUGGAGACGGGGUUUCGCUGUGUUGGCCGGGCUGGUCUCCAGCUCCUAACCGUGAGUGAUCCGCCAGCCUCGGCCUCCCGAGGUGCCGGGAUUGCAGACGGAGUCUUGUUAACUCAGUGCUCAAUGGUGCCCAGGCUGGAGUGCAGUGGCGUGAUCUCGGCUACAACCUCCACUUCCCAGCCGCCUGUCUUGGCCCCCCAAAGUGCCGAGAUUGCAGCCUCUGCCCGGCCGCUACCCCGUCUGGGAAGUGAGGAGCGUCUCUGCCUGGCCGCCCAUCGUCUGGGAUGUGAGGAGCCCCUCUGCCUGGCUGCCCAGUCUGGAAAGUGAGGAGUGUCUCUGCCCGGCCGCCAUCCCAUCUAGGAAGUGAGGAGCGUCUCUGCCCGGCCGCCCAUCGUCUGAGAUGGGAGCGCCUCUGCCCCGCCGCCCCGUCUGGGAGAUCAUUAAGCAGCUUCGAGUCUGGAAAAUUUGUUGAAUGUACUGAGCAAUUAGAAUUGUUACCAGGAGAAAAUAUCAAUCUACUUGCUGGAGGAUCAAAAGAAAAAAUAGACAUGAAAAACCUGCUUCGUAACAUGUUAAGUCCAGAUCCAAGGGAACCUCAGAAAUCCAUUGAAGUUCAAUUGUUAAGAAGUUCUGUUUGUUUGGCAACUGCUUUAAACCCGAUAGAACAAGAUCAGAAGUGGCAGUCUAUAACUGAAAAUGUGGUAAAGUACUUGAAGCAAACAUCCCGCAUCGCUGUUGGACCUCUGAGACUUUCUACUUUAACAGUUUCACAGUCUUUGCCAGUUCUAAGUACCUUGCAGCUGUAUUGCUCACCUGCUUUGGAGAACACAGUUUCUAACAGACUUUAAACAGAGGACUGUCUUAUUCCACUCUUCGGUGAAGCUUUACGUUCAUGUAAACAGCAUGAUGUGAGGCCAUGGAUGCAGGCAGUAAGGUUUAUAUUACACAUUCUAAGUGUAUGGUUUGAUGAGUUCUAACAUGUCUUCACUUGUGUGACCACCAAUACGAUUGAGAUACAGAACACCGUCUUACCCCAGAAGGUUCCCUUGGGAUCAUCUCCUCAUUUGGCCCUGUCAGCAGUUACUCAUUUGCUUUCUGUCACUAUGGAUUAGACUUGUCUUUACUAAAGUUUCAUGUACGUGAAAUCAU